GUACAAGCAGUGGGAGCACCCUUUGGGGUGUGACUGCGUACCUUUUGUAUAAUGGGUCAGCGACUUAUAUUCUGUAGCAAGGUUAACCGUAUAGGGGAGCCGGAGGGAAACCGAGUCUUAACCGGGCGUUAAGUUGCAGGGUAUAGACCCGAAACCCGGUGAUCUAGCCAUGGGCAGGUUGAAGGUUGGGUAACACUAACUGGAGGACCGAACCGACUAAUGUUGAAAAAUUAGCGGAUGACCUGUGGCUGGGGGUGAAAGGCCAAUCAAACCGGGAGAUAGCUGGUUCUCCCCGAAAGCUAUUUAGGUAGCGCCUCGUGAAUUCAUCUCCGGGGGUAGAGCACUGUUUCGGCUAGGGGGCCAUCCCGGCUUACCAACCCGAUGCAAACUGCGAAUACCGGAGAAUGUUAUCACGGGAGACACACGGCGGGUGCUAACGUCCGUCGUGAAGAGGGAAACAACCCAGACCGCCAGCUAAGGUCCCAAAGUCAUGGUUAAGUGGGAAACGAUGUGGGAAGGCCCAGACAGCCAGGAUGUUGGCUUAGAAGCAGCCAUCAUUUAAAGAAAGCGUAAUAGCUCACUGGUCGAGUCGGCCUGCGCGGAAGAUGUAACGGGGCUAAACCAU
RNAcentral lists this ribosomal RNA (625 nucleotides) under Salmonella enterica subsp. enterica serovar Mikawasima. RNAcentral's name for it is "partial 23S ribosomal RNA". It matches the Rfam family "Bacterial large subunit ribosomal RNA", at positions 566 to 1190 of the family's 2925-position model. Lineage: Bacteria; Pseudomonadati; Pseudomonadota; Gammaproteobacteria; Enterobacterales; Enterobacteriaceae. The record is from RNAcentral.